Molecule: ribosomal RNA, 521 nt
Filed under: uncultured bacterium
Lineage: Bacteria
Description: bacterial SSU rRNA
Rfam family: Archaeal small subunit ribosomal RNA
Source: RNAcentral
AACCUCCGCAAUGUGAGAAAUCGCGACGGGGGGAUCCCAAGUGCCAUUCUUAACGGGAUGGCUUUUCAUUAGUGUAAAGAGCUUUUGGAAUAAGAGCUGGGCAAGACCGGUGCCAGCCGCCGCGGUAACACCGGCAGCUCUAGUGGUAACAAUUUUUAUUGGGCCUAAAGCGUCCGUAGCCGGUUUAAUAAGUCUCUGGUGAAAUCCUGUAGCUUAACUGUGGGAAUUGCUGGAGAUACUAUUAGACUUGAGACCGGGAGAGGUUAGAGGUACUCCCAGGGUAGAGGUGAAAUUCUGUAAUCCUGGGAGGACCGCCUGUUGCGAAGGCGUCUAACUGGAACGGUUCUGACGGUGAGGGACGAAAGUUAGGGGCGCGAACCGGAUUAGAUACCCGGGUAGUCCUAACUGUAAACGAUGCGGACUUGGUGUUGGGGUGGCUUUGAGCUGCUCCAGUGCCGAAGGGAGGCUGUUAAGUCCGCCGCCUGGGAAGUACGGUCGCAAGACUGAAACUUAAAGGAAUU